This 418-nucleotide ribosomal RNA is filed under the name beta proteobacterium SCGC AAA023-J13. RNAcentral describes it as "partial 16S small subunit ribosomal RNA". It matches the Rfam family "Bacterial small subunit ribosomal RNA", at positions 357 to 765 of the family's 1533-position model. The record is from RNAcentral. Lineage: Bacteria; Pseudomonadati; Pseudomonadota; Betaproteobacteria.
GGGAAUUUUGCACAAUGGGCGCAAGCCUGAUCCAGCCAUUCCGCGUGCGUGAAGAAGGCCUUCGGGUUGUAAAGCGCUUUUGUNNGGGAGGAAGGNGCNUNGGUUAAUACCCUGGGNCCUUGACGUUACCGNCAGAAUAAGCACCGGCUAACUNCGUGCCAGCAGCCGCGGUAAUACGUAGGGUGCAAGCGUUAAUCGGAAUUACUGGGCGUAAAGCGCGCGCAGGCGGUUAUUUAAGUCAGAUGUGAAAUCCCCGGGCUCAACCUGGGAACUGCAUUUGAAACUGGCNAGCUAGAGUGCGGUAGAGGGGGAUGGAAUUCCGGGUGUAGCAGUGAAAUGCGUAGAUAUGCGGAGGAACACCGAUGGCGAAGGCAAUCCCCCUGGACCUGACACUGACGCUCAUGUGCGAAAGCGUGGG